GAUGAACGCUGGCGGCGUGCUUAACACAUGCAAGUCGAACGGUGAAAGAGAGCUUGCUCUCUGGCUCAGUGGCGAACGGGUGAGUAACACGUGAGCAAUCUGCCCCUGACUCUGGGAUAAGCGCUGGAAACGGCGUCUAAUACCGGAUACAAGCUGCGAAGGCAUCUUCAGCAGCUGGAAAGAACUUCGGUCAGGGAUGAGCUCGCGGCCUAUCAGCUAGUUGGUGAGGUAACGGCUCACCAAGGCGUCGACGGGUAGCCGGCCUGGGAGGGUGACCGGCCACACUGGGACUGAGACACGGCCCAGACUCCUACGGGAGGCAGCAGUGGGGAAUAUUGCACAAUGGGCGAAAGCCUGAUGCAGCAACGCCGCGUGAGGGACGACGGCCUUCGGGUUGUAAACCUCUUUUAGCAGGGAAGAAGCGAAAGUGACGGUACCUGCAGAAAAAGCGCCGGCUAACUACGUG
This 466-nucleotide ribosomal RNA is filed under the name uncultured bacterium. RNAcentral's name for it is "partial 16S ribosomal RNA". It matches the Rfam family "Bacterial small subunit ribosomal RNA", at positions 28 to 507 of the family's 1533-position model. The record is from RNAcentral.